This 677-nucleotide ribosomal RNA is filed under the name uncultured Tulasnellaceae. Its description in RNAcentral is "eukaryotic LSU rRNA". The stretch from base 571 to 677 matches the Rfam family "Eukaryotic large subunit ribosomal RNA", at positions 1 to 108 of the family's 3401-position model. The record is from RNAcentral. Lineage: Eukaryota; Fungi; Basidiomycota; Agaricomycetes; Cantharellales; Tulasnellaceae.
ACRAGUCGUAACAAGGUUUCCGUAGGUGAACCUGCGGAAGGAUCAUAGUAAUYGUCUUUGACGCACUACUCUUCGUCCACCGGACGCUAAGACGCUCUGGCAGAGGAUAAACCGCCGUCCUCGUGUUACCUUCCGGCACACGUUAAAGAUCGCUCUGCGUUGUGAGUAUAAACCGUUGUAAUGAAAUCUACAACCGGUAGCAUUGGAUCCCUUGGCAUGUCAUUCGAUGAAGACCGUUGCAAAUUGCGAUAAAGUGAUGUGAUGCGCAAGUCCACCACUUAUACGUGAAUCAUCGAGUUGUUGAACGCACUGCACCGCGCUCUAAACCAGCCCGGUAUGCCCCUUUGAGCGUCAUUUUUGUUCUUCGGGAGCCUUACGCACUUCGGUGCGCUGGCCCGAGUUCGGAGUCCUCGGUUUCUUGGAACCGUGUUCUCUCAGAUCCAGCACGCUGACCAUCCCGGCGGGUCCUCUAAGCCUGAGUGCAGAGGCCYUCCAGCGGGUGAAGCGUCCGACAGCGGCUUGAGCGCUGUCACCAAGUCCCUCGUCUCUCGACUUGGGUACUACAAAUCAUGACCUCAUUGGGGUAGGACAACCCGCUAGACUUAAGCAUAUUAAUCAGCGGAGGAAAAGAAACUAACAAGGAUUCCCUCAGUAACUGCGAGUGAAGCGGGAUCAGC